RNAcentral lists this ribosomal RNA (253 nucleotides) under uncultured bacterium. Its description in RNAcentral is "partial 16S ribosomal RNA". It matches the Rfam family "Bacterial small subunit ribosomal RNA", at positions 524 to 776 of the family's 1533-position model. The record is from RNAcentral.
AACGUAGGAGCCAAGCGUUAUCCGAAUUCACUGGGCGUAAAGCGCGUGCAGGCGGCGCGGCAAGUUGGAUGUGAAAGCUCCUGGCUCAACUGGGAGAGGACGUUCAAUACUGUCGGGCUAGAGGGCGGCAGAGGGAGGUGGAAUUCCCGGUGUAGUGGUGAAAUGCGUAGAUAUCGGGAGGAACACCAGUGGCGAAAGCGGCCUCCUGGGCCGCACCUGACGCUCAGACGCGAAAGCUAGGGGAGCGAACGGG